CACGUAGGAGGCAAACGUUAUCCGGAUUUACUGGGUGUAAAGGGCGCGUAGGCGGGAAUGCAAGUCAGAUGUGAAAUCCAUGGGCUCAACCCAUGAACUGCAUUUGAAACUGCAUUUCUUGAGUGAUGGAGAGGCAAGUGGAAUUCCUAGUGUAGCGGUGAAAUGCGUAGAUAUUAGGAGGAACACCAGUGGCGAAGGCGACUUGCUGGACAUUAACUGACGCUGAGGCGCGAAAGCGUGGGGAGCAAACAGG
This 253-nucleotide ribosomal RNA is filed under the name uncultured bacterium. Its description in RNAcentral is "partial 16S ribosomal RNA". It matches the Rfam family "Bacterial small subunit ribosomal RNA", at positions 524 to 776 of the family's 1533-position model. The record is from RNAcentral.